CCCUUAGAUGUCCUGGGCUGCACGCGCGCUACACUGAUGUGUCCAGUAAGCACCUAACCUCUUCCGAAAGGAACGGGUAACCUUUGCAAAGCACAUCGUGAUGGGGAUAGAUUAUUGCAAUUAUUAGUCUUGAACGAGGAAUUCCUAGUAAGCACAAGUCAUCAGCUUGUGUUGAUUACGUCCCUGCCCUUUGUACACACCGCCCGUCGCUCCUACCGAUUGAAUGUUCCGGUGAGCUCUUCGGACUGCGCGGUCUGCGGUUUCUGCGUUCCGUGCGGAAAGUUGCGCAAACCUUAACAUUUAGAGGAAGGAGAAGUCGUAACA
This 324-nucleotide ribosomal RNA is filed under the name uncultured eukaryote. RNAcentral describes it as "partial 18S ribosomal RNA". It matches the Rfam family "Eukaryotic small subunit ribosomal RNA", at positions 1470 to 1796 of the family's 1831-position model. The record is from RNAcentral.